Molecule: long non-coding RNA, 684 nt
Filed under: Anas zonorhyncha (Eastern spot-billed duck)
Lineage: Eukaryota; Metazoa; Chordata; Aves; Anseriformes; Anatidae
Description: lncRNA (ENSAZOG00000016476.1)
Source: RNAcentral
CUGGGAAAAUCCUUAAUCCUGGCAGUGAUGGUUCCUUUCAACUCCCUGGGUCAGGCUUAAAAUAGCAUUUCUGUGAAGAAGAGAGCGUGAUGGAGGAAAACAAGGCAGCUCCUCGCUUCAUUGUGCCUGAACUGUGACUAAACCAUGACGAGUUAGAAGCAUGUGUAAUAUAUGCAUGAAAUCUGCAGCACCCUUCCUUAAAAUUAAUGCAGAUCAAGAGACCCUGAUUGUUUUGGACCACAGAGCAAGAAGCAAGGCCUACAGGCAAGUCCCCUGCCAGCAUUCUUCUCUGGAGAGCAUCAACAGGAAAAGAUCAACACAACUUCAGCAGUGGAAGUGAGCUGGGAAGUGGGGAUCACUGAGAAGAAAAAAGAAAAAGCGGCUUGGGAUUUUCAAGAAACCAUAGAAAUGUUACUGCCUUUUUCCCUUGGCUUGGGGCAAGAGCAUCAACUUGGCCAUCAGACUUAUUCUGGGCCUUUGAAAAUGACAGACUCAGGGCAUUUAUGCUCUUUUAUUUAUGCUCUUUUUUUUUCUUUUUUUUUUUCUGUUUAACAAAAUAAAAGAAUUUCCAUCUUUCAGUUGUCAGUAGUGGUGAUGAGCAAAAUCAGAUAAACGUGGGGAAAUUCUUAUUCACUGGACCCUAGCUAUAUAAUGCAGCCAUUAUCUUUUAAUAGUUAACAUAAA